ACAUGUGAGGGCAGUCUGGCUGUGACAUAUGUCACUCCAUUGAUCACCAGGGUUGAUUGAGCUGAUCUGGCUGGCUAGCUGGGUGUCCCUUCCUCCAUCUCUUCUCCAUAUGCAUCUCUCUUGAGAUGUCUAAAAGGAUAACUUUACCAGAAUAGAGGAGGGCGGGCCUUCUGCCAGGGUUAUAGGAGUAGCUGUGCUCCCCUGCUAGAACUUCCAAACAAGCUCUCAAAUCAAUACUCAAUCAGUAUAUGGUAAAAUUAGCAUACCUUCGAAUAUGACACAAUUAUAUUGUCAGUAAACCAGUUAUUCAGUGCAAU
RNAcentral lists this small nuclear RNA (317 nucleotides) under Jaculus jaculus (lesser Egyptian jerboa). Its description in RNAcentral is "7SK RNA (ENSJJAG00000001568.1)". It matches the Rfam family "7SK RNA". From Rfam's summary of the family: 7SK was discovered as an abundant small nuclear RNA in the mid-70s but a possible function has only recently been suggested. Two independent studies have found that 7SK RNA binds the CDK9/cyclin T complex (known as elongation factor P-TEFb). Lineage: Eukaryota; Metazoa; Chordata; Mammalia; Rodentia; Dipodidae. The record is from RNAcentral.